Molecule: ribosomal RNA, 497 nt
Filed under: uncultured bacterium
Lineage: Bacteria
Description: partial 16S ribosomal RNA
Rfam family: Bacterial small subunit ribosomal RNA
Source: RNAcentral
GAUGAACGCUGGCGGCGUGCCUAAUACAUGCAAGUCGAGCGAACGGACGAGACGCUUGCUUCUCUGAUGUUAGCGGCGGACGGGUGAGUAACACGUGGAUAACCUACCUAUAAGCCUGGGAUAACUUCGUGAAACCGGAGCUAAUACCGGAUAAUAUUUUGAACUGCAUGGUUCAAAAGUGAAAGACGGACUUGCUGUCACUUAUAGAUGGAUCCGCGCUGCAUUAGCUAGUUGGUAAGGUAACGGCUAACCAAGGCAACGAUGCAUAGCCGACCUGAGAGGUGGAUGGGCCACACUGGAACUGGGACACGGUCCAGACCCCUACGGGAGGCAGCAGAAGGGAAUCUUCCGCAAUGGGCGAAGGCCUGACGGAGCAACGCCGCGUGAGGGAGGAAGGUCUUCGGAUCGUAAAACUCUGUUAUUAGGGAAGAACAGAUGUGUAAGUAACUGUGCACAUCUUGACGGUACCUAAUCAGAAAGCCACGGCUAACUACGUG